RNAcentral lists this ribosomal RNA (481 nucleotides) under uncultured bacterium. RNAcentral's name for it is "partial 16S ribosomal RNA". It matches the Rfam family "Bacterial small subunit ribosomal RNA", at positions 28 to 507 of the family's 1533-position model. The record is from RNAcentral.
GAUGAACGCUGGCGGCGUGCCUAACACAUGCAAGUCGAACGGAGAUUACGGACGGAAGUUUUCGGAUGGAAGCCUGUAAUUCUUAGUGGCGGACGGGUGAGUAACGCGUGGGCAACCUGCCCUAUACAGGGGGAUAGCAGCUGGAAACGGCUGGUAAGACCGCAUAAGUCGGUUAAAUCGCAUGAUUUGAUCGGGAAAUGAGCAAUCAGGUAUAGGAUGGGCCCGCGUCCGAUUAGCCAGUUGGCAGGGUAAAAGCCUACCAAAGCGACGAUCGGUAGCCGGACUGAGAGGUCGGACGGCCACAUUGGGACUGAGACACGGCCCAAACUCCUACGGGAGGCAGCAGUGGGGGAUAUUGCACAAUGGAGGAAACUCUGAUGCAGCGACGCCGCGUGAGUGAAGAAGCAUUUCGGUAUGUAAAGCUCUAUCAGCAGGGAAGAUGAUGACGGUACCUGACUAAGAAGCCCCGGCUAACUACGUG